GCAGAUCUGCCCUGCCCACUUUCGCGCUCUUUCCAACACCUUUCUCAGUUAUUUUCGCCAUUGUGGGUUUACUUGUCCUCAGCACACUGAUUUGGCACUGCUGCAAUCGUCACACUUUUUCUGUUACAAACUGACCCGGCCCCUCAUCAGAGAAGGGAAAAGUCAUGUGGCCUUCACAGGAAAAGGUUUGGGGACCCCUGCUUUAGAGUGUUUGUCAUCUGCCCUUCCAUUUGCUUUUCUUCAUGUGCAGUGCUCCCCCUCCAUGUUUGAUCAAACUGCACUGAUAAUUUGAAAUUGUUUUAAAAUGCAUUAAUCGCAAAAAUCAGAGGACUAGAUCACAUUUCCCCCUGUUAUUUCACCACUUUAACUUUGGUCUAACCUAAUAUAGGAAUACAGAUAGAAAGAGUGCAGAGAUCACACUCGACGCCAUAACAACCUGGUGUGUUUAAGGUUGGUCAUUUAUGUGCCUAUAUUUUGAAAUUGUUGCCUUAAUUUUGUGUUCUUUUUCACCAUCCCCCAAUCAGGCUGAAGCAAAUGGUCAAAAGUCCACACAUACCUCAGUCUCAGCAAUUACAGGUCAACCAAAGCAGUAUUCUCUAAUGCAGUGGACUUGCAAGUACUGCACAUUUUCUGCUGAAAAGAGCCUACUUGCUUAAGCAUUACCGCUUAAAACAUGGAUACCACACUCGGACAUCCCUACUCCCAUGUCUUCAUAAGGACUGCCUCUGCACAUUUAAAUCUUUUAAUGCACUCAAAGUACACCUAUCGACAUGGCACUCUCAAAAAGAUGCAGGCAAAAGUGGAGAAACUGCAUUUGACCGUCAGUUGUGCAACUUUGUGGAGCCCUGCUCAGAAGCAGACUUCUUUACCCAUUUGCGAGGACAUCUUAAGCUGAGGCAAAUGGUUACUUGCCCAUAUCAAGACUAACUUUCAGAGCAGUAUUUAUUCGACCUUCACUGCACACAAAAGCAAAGAAAUGUGAAAUGUGUUUGAGCCAUAGUGUGGGUAGGACAUUUGUGUCUAAAUCAUUCAAUCCCAAUAAAAGUUGCUUUAAUAAAAAAAAAACUUAUUUUUAAUC
Molecule: long non-coding RNA, 1078 nt
Organism: Corythoichthys intestinalis (scribbled pipefish)
Lineage: Eukaryota; Metazoa; Chordata; Actinopteri; Syngnathiformes; Syngnathidae
Exons: 3
Source: RefSeq, a predicted model, not a curated record